UGGGGAAUAUUGGACAAUGGGCGCAAGCCUGAUCCAGCAAUGCCGCGUGUGUGAAGAAGGCCUUCGGGUUGUAAAGCACUUUUAUCAGGAACGAAAAGCGUGGGGUUAAUACCUUUACGUGCUGACGGUACCUGAGGAAUAAGCACCGGCUAACUUCGUGCCAGCAGCCGCGGUAAUACGAAGGGUGCAAGCGUUAAUCGGAAUUACUGGGCGUAAAGCGUGCGUAGAUGGUUUGUUAAGUCGGAUGUGAAAGCCCCGGGCUCAACCUGGGAACUGCAUCCGAUACUGGCAGACUAGAGUGUGGUAGAGGAUGGCGGAAUUCCCGGUGUAGCGGUGAAAUGCGUAGAGAUCGGGAGGAACAUCCGUGGCGAAGGCGGCCAUCUGGACCAACACUGACGUUGAGGCACGAAAGCGUGGGGAGCAAACAGGAUUAGAUACCCCCGUAGUCCCUGAGCGGGCUGGCAAGGCGCAU
Molecule: ribosomal RNA, 472 nt
Filed under: uncultured bacterium
Lineage: Bacteria
Description: bacterial SSU rRNA
Rfam family: Bacterial small subunit ribosomal RNA
Source: RNAcentral